CUGGUUGAUCCUGCCAGACCCGACUGCUAUCAGAAUGAGAUUAAGCCAUGCGAGUCAACGUAGCAAUACGUGGCACACGGCUCAGUAACACGUAGUCAACAUAACCAGAGGACGUGGAUAAACUCGGGAAACUGAGGCUAAACCGCGAUAGACCAAGAUACCUGGAAUGGUUUUUGAUCAAAAUCUAUAUGGCCUUUGGAUUGGACUGCGACCGAUCAGGCUGUUGGUGAGGUAAUGGCCCACCAAACCUGUAACCGGUACGGGCUCUGAGAGGAGGAGCCCGGAGAUGGGUACAGAGAAAAGGACCCAGGCCCUAUGGGGCGCAGCAGGCGCGAAACCUCUGCAAUAGGCGAAAGCCUGACAGGGUUACUCUGAGUGAUUUCCGUUAAGGAGAUCUUUUGGCACCCCUAAAAAUGGUGCAGAAUAAGGGGUGGGCAAGUCUGGUGUCAGCCGCCGCGGUAAUACCAGCACCCCGAGUGGUCGGGACGAUUAUUGGGCCUAAAGCAUCCGUAGCCGGCCUUACAAGUCCUCCGUUAAAUCCAGCUGCUUAACAGAUGGGCUGCGGAGGAUACUAUAAGACUAGGAGGCAGGAGAGGCAAGCGGUACUCAGUGGGUAGGGGUAAAAUCCGUUGAUCCAUUGAAGACCACCAGUGGCGAAGGCGGCUUGCCAGAAUGCGCUCGACGGUGAGGGAUGAAAGCUGGGGGAGCAAACCGGAUUAGAUACCCGGGUAGUCCCA
RNAcentral lists this ribosomal RNA (737 nucleotides) under uncultured soil archaeon. Its description in RNAcentral is "bacterial SSU rRNA". It matches the Rfam family "Archaeal small subunit ribosomal RNA", at positions 4 to 749 of the family's 1478-position model. The record is from RNAcentral.